GUCUACGGCCAUGUCACCCUGAACGUGCCCGAUCCUGUCUGAUCUCAGAAGCUAAGCAGGGUUGGGCCUGGUUAGUACUUGGAUGGGAGACUGCCCAGGAAGACCAGGUGCUGUAGGCG
This 119-nucleotide ribosomal RNA is filed under the name Pteropus alecto (black flying fox). Lineage: Eukaryota; Metazoa; Chordata; Mammalia; Chiroptera; Pteropodidae. The record is from RNAcentral.